CUGCACUUGUGGUUCAAAUACUGCUGAAUUAUUAGACCAAGUUAAUGCCCAAAUCGGGUUAAUGCCCAAAGCAGGGCUGUGUUUUGGAGGAUGUUUCCGCCUGCUGUGCUGCACCAAGCACACAGCGAUCACAGCACACGUUUAAUCCUAAUUCUGGUUUGUAUCUAGGGUUUCACUGGAGAUGUGGAGAUGGAAGUGAGGUCUGGUCUGGACUGCUGGAGCCCCCAGUUUUGAUUCCACCUUUUCUGCAAUGCUGCUGGAAUUUUCUGUGAAGGCUCCAUCCCACCAGAUCCCAGCAUCUGACUGUCGAAAGUGGAGGCAACAUUGAGCUCCCCCAUGAAGUGUGGAGUCCUUUCAUGACAGUCACUAGAGAUGAAACAUUUUGUGAGUUGAAUCCUAUCAAUUCAGUGGCUGAGACAUUCCUAAUAACUUCGCAAUCGGAUGUGUUACCAGCACAGAACAGCUUCAAGUCAGCAGCACGAUCUUCAGUCGCCUGCAAGGAGCCUUGUGUAUCACAGGGCUGGAUCAGGAAACCUGUGAUUGCUCACAAUCACAUUAACAGAGAAGACAGGAUGUCAGGGAAUCACUCGGCGAGUCUCAGAGCUACCAUUCCUGUCACCUGUGAAACCAGUCAAAUUCUCUGGAUGAUGGAAUGGUUUAAUAUCACAGGAUCCAGUGUGUGUGGCAGGGCUGCUCAAGACAUUAACACAGGAAGCAAUAUUGUUCAAUGUCGACUUAACUGCCUGGCAGGUUACACAGUAAUGUGGAAGGAUGGGAGCCCGCUUGGGCCCAGGACUCACAGCCCUGCAAACAUUUCUCCUUGUGGGAGGACUCUUUUUUUCUGUAGCUCAGUGGUAAAAGCUUGUAUGAGCAUGCAGUCAAAAUGGCCUUCACCCAGCCUGGGUCAGCUUGGGCAGAGGUGCUGGGCCCAGAACACCUGUCCACAGGAGGCUUCAGCAUCUGCCACUGCUCAGCCCUUCAGCACCUCCAAAAUAGGAACUUGGCAAACAAAGCCAACAGAGUGCAUUGCUAAGCAGAACAUUCUGCCGAGUCCCAACACCAGGACUGCGUGUUACAGGGCACUUGCCAAUUCCUGA
RNAcentral lists this long non-coding RNA (1097 nucleotides) under Parus major (Great Tit). Its description in RNAcentral is "lncRNA (ENSPMJG00000018762.1)". Lineage: Eukaryota; Metazoa; Chordata; Aves; Passeriformes; Paridae. The record is from RNAcentral.